AUUGAACGCUGGCGGCAUGCCUUACACAUGCAAGUCGAACGGUAACGGGCCUUCGGGUGCCGACGAGUGGCGGACGGGUGAGUAAUACAUCGGAACGUGCCCGAUCGUGGGGGAUAACGAGGCGAAAGCUUUGCUAAUACCGCAUACGAUCUACGGAUGAAAGCAGGGGACCGCAAGGCCUUGCGCGGACGGAGCGGCCGAUGGCAGUUUAGGUAGUUGGUGGGAUAAAAGCUUACCAAGCCGACGAUCUGUAGCUGGUCUGAGAGGAUGAUCAGCCACACUGGGACUGAGACACGGCCCAGACUCCUACGGGAGGCAGCGGUGGGGAAUUUUGGACAAUGGGCGCAAGCCUGAUCCAGCCAUGCCGCGGGCAGGAUGAAGGCCUUCGGGUUGUAAACUGCUUUUGUACGGAACGAAAAGCCUUCUUUUAAUACAGGAGGGUCAUGACGGUACCGUAAGAAUAAGCACCGGCUAACUACGU
Molecule: ribosomal RNA, 481 nt
Filed under: uncultured bacterium
Lineage: Bacteria
Description: partial 16S ribosomal RNA
Rfam family: Bacterial small subunit ribosomal RNA
Source: RNAcentral